Sitophilus oryzae (rice weevil) is the source of this 295-nucleotide long non-coding RNA. RefSeq lists it as uncharacterized. The record is from RefSeq and is a predicted model, not a curated record. NCBI's taxonomy places the organism in Eukaryota, Metazoa, Arthropoda, Insecta, Coleoptera, Curculionidae. The transcript has 2 exons.
UUCAGUUUUUUCGUCCCUCGCGAAGAAACAUAAACAGUAUUUGUGAAAUUUGGAUUAGAAACUAUUAUUUUAUUAAUUUAUUUUGUUGUGUUUAAGUGUUGUGUAUUUGUACCUACUGGAUAAUAUUUUCCAACAUAUUUAAUUAAGCAAAAAGCAUCUGUUUUACAGGUGUGACUGCUAAGUGGUCGUACUCGCCACUUUAACCAAGCAUUGGUGGGACCUUCAGAGAUCAUAAUGCGAAUUUCUUCAUACCAUGUAAAUCUAUAUACAUGUAUUAAUAAAUGCGUUUGCUUUA